This 217-nucleotide long non-coding RNA is filed under the name Gossypium raimondii (Peruvian cotton). RNAcentral's name for it is "long non-coding RNA (GRAI_LNC002981)". The record is from RNAcentral. Lineage: Eukaryota; Viridiplantae; Streptophyta; Magnoliopsida; Malvales; Malvaceae.
GGAUUCGGGGGAGGAUUUCUUUUAUUUCUUUUUAUUUUCUGUAAUUCAGGCUAUAAAGAAGCCAAUACAAACGCUGUAAAAGAUACACAGUUUAAGAAAUAAAAAAAAACAAAAGAUUCAGAGAAAGAGAAUUCCAAAGGUAAAAAUCUGAAAGUUUGUCUGUUUUUUUCUUUUCAUUUUCUUUUUGAUUCAUUUUUUUUAUACAUAAGCAAAGCAA